RNAcentral lists this ribosomal RNA (253 nucleotides) under uncultured bacterium. Its description in RNAcentral is "partial 16S ribosomal RNA". It matches the Rfam family "Bacterial small subunit ribosomal RNA", at positions 524 to 776 of the family's 1533-position model. The record is from RNAcentral.
UACGUAGGCAGCGAGCGUUGUUCGGAGUUACUGGGCGUAAAGAGUGCGUAGGCGGUGUUCCAAGUCUGUUGUGAAAUCUCCCGGCUCAACUGGGAGGGUGCGGCGGAAACUGGGACGCUGGAGUACGGGAGAGGAAAGUGGAAUUCCUGGUGUAGAGGUGAAAUUCGUAGAUAUCAGGAGGAACACCAGUGGCGAAGGCGGCUUUCUGGACGGUAACUGACGCUGAGACGCGAAAGCGUGGGGAGCAAACAGG